Molecule: RNA transcript, 2958 nt
Organism: Acinonyx jubatus (cheetah)
Lineage: Eukaryota; Metazoa; Chordata; Mammalia; Carnivora; Felidae
Gene: FCGR2B
Gene name: Fc gamma receptor IIb
Exons: 7
Source: RefSeq, a predicted model, not a curated record
UUUGGGACUUCAGAAUUGGUCUGUCCUCCCCCGGGGUGGAAUCGGUCAGGCCUCGAGAGAAGUCUGGGACUGCCACGCCGGUGCUGCCAGGGCCACCGUGUGCCAGGAAUUGAUGCAGAUCCCUUCAACCCGCCCCCUCCCUGCUGCCCGUAGUGACCGAGCCGAGUGUGUGCCCUGCCCCCCUUUGGGCGACAUGCUACUGUGGACAGCUCUGCUCUUCUUGGGUCCAGUCCUUGGGACACCUGGUCUCCCGAAGGCUGUGGUGGACCUGGAGCCCCCGUGGAUCCUCGUGCUCCGGGAGGACGAUGUGACUCUGAAGUGCCAGGGGGCCCACACAGCCGGGGACCACUCCAUCCGGUGGUUCCAUAAUGGGAGCUCCAUCCCCACGCAGGUCCGGCCCAACUACAGCUUUAAGGCCACCGAGAAGGAUAGAGGGGAGUACACGUGCCAGACGGACCAGACCAGCCUCAGUGACCCCGUGUAUCUGGAUGUGUUUUCCGACUGGCUGGUGCUCCAGACCCCUAGCCUGGUGUUCCAGAAGGGGGAGCCCAUCGUGCUGAGGUGCCACAGCUGGAGGAACAAGCCUCUGUACAAGAUCACGUUCUUCCAGAAUGGAAAAUCCAAGCAGUUUUCUGCCAUGAAUUCCACCUUCUCCAUCCCACGGGCAAACCUCAGUCACAGCGGCGAGUACCAUUGCACAGGGCUGAUAGGGAAGAGUCUGCAGGCGUCACAGCCCGUGGCCAUCACCGUCCAAGGGUCCAGUUGGAGCGACUCCUCAGUGACAGUGAUGAUUGCGGUCGCGGUCGCUGGCAUUGCUGCCGUGGCCAUCCUUGCUGCCGUUGUGGCCUGGUUCCGCCACAGGCAAAAGCAGACUUCAGGAUACCCUGAGCACAGGGAAAUGGGAGAGACCCUCCCUGAGGAACCAGGUGAGUGCAGCUCCCCUGCCUGGGGCUGCCAGGUGGAUUGGAGUCAGCAGGAAGCGGCUUGUGUGAGUUCAGCUGGGAGCGCAGGAGAGGGAGGGGGCAGUGGGAGGAGGACAGGGGCUCAAGUCGCUUGGUCAAUUCUGAGACUAACUCCUGGGCUUCGAGAGGACCUCACUGGGGAUGAGGGGCAGAAGACCACCUGUCCCAGAUAGAGAGGGGAGGGCCGUGUCCGAAUUUCGGAGCCAGGAACGCUGGGAACGUUUCCAGAGCAGGAAAUAAGAGAUAUCUGGGCCUCUCUGGGGGGGUUGGCCAAGCUGGCACGGGACAGAGGUUAGAAGUGGUAAGACUGAGACGAAUAGGAUUGAGAGGAAACGAGGGGGAGACCUAGGGAAUACUCCCAGGACAUGGUGAGGAGUUUCUGGGAGUGAUGCGGUAAGGGUGGGGCAUCAGGGGGAGAUCUGGGCUUGAGAAAGUUCUAGAGGACUGGGUGCAUUCAUCAGUGAGCUUCACUUGUGGGCAAAGCUUGGUUCUGAUGCCCACUUGAGUAAGUUUAUUAAACACGGACGUGGUCCUAGCUCUGUCAUCAUCAUCAGGUGGAAUCUUGAAUGUUCCCCACCAUGGGGGUGCAGGGACCUCCCUGAGGACAGGAGUGGAGUGGCCUGGAUGACCUUGAAGCCCUUCCAGGCCCGACACUCUGAGAGUCAGUGACCAUUCAACCCCCGGCUGAGGUAGGAACAGGAGUAUUCCAGGCGACCUCCUGACUGUAGUUUAGCUGGAGCACGAGGGAACCCAAGACAUUCUCGAGGGGCUCCCCAGCAGCAACAAGAGAAGAACAGGAGGCCCUCGAGGACUCUGGGUCAGACGGCAGGAGUGUGACUCAGAAAAGGACCAACAGAUUCGAGAGCUUGAGCAAAAUGGCGUUCGUCCCGCUGUGCUUUGAGCAAGGCCCUUGCGUUCUUGGCCAGGUCACGCGGGGACGCGGGGCCUGAGCCCACACCAGGCCAAAGCAGAUGUAGAGUAAAGCCCCAGCACAACUGGGAAGAGCCACCUGGAGGUUUGGCUCCGUCCAUACUGGCAUAAAUAUAUUCCACGAGUAUUUAUUUCACAGCCAGGCACUGGGGCUGGUUGUUUCCCAUCAGCUGGCGAGGUUGCUGGGAUUAUUGAGAAAUGUAUUGGAAGGAGAAUUGGGGAAGAGGUUUGCUCCAGACUUUGCAGCAUGGCGAACAGAGACUCUUUGUGUUCAGAGGGGGAGUGGAGACACUAAACGUAUUGUCCCAGACCCUCCAGCCCCUUCCUGAGGAAUGCUGCUUCGCAGAUACUGAGGCUACUUCCCGCCCUGGCGAAGUGAGCUUUUUGGCAAAACACAUGUGGGAAUUUGGUGUGUUUUAGCGAUUUACCAGGGAGUCGACUGGCCUGAUUUGCUUGCUUCCCUCUUUCCCUCCCUCGCUUUCACCGUUGUGCUUUCUUUCCUUUUAACGUCAGGGAGCAUCACCUUCUUCUGAGAGUUCCCAGCAAGAUGCAGGGCAUCUGGCCGAUGCCCAGACGCCCCCCACCCCCACCCCGGGUCUCCUGGGGUUGGCAAAAAUCUGGACUUGACUUCCCUGUGAUACUGAACAGCUCCCAGCUCUUCCCCGGUUCUCAGAUCCCCCAAGCUGGCUAGUUUGCCUCUAGAAAAAGUCAGCCACUCUCUGAAACGCACGCAGCACAGACUGCCUCCUUCUGCCAGCUUGGCCAGGGUGGGGAGCCUGGGUGGUGAACGGAGCUCUUGGCCUACAGGUCCUUCUUGCAGGUCUGGUUCGGGCUUUGUCUUUGCAGCCUCUGCGGCAGUGUGGUAGGUCCUCUUCUGCAACAGUGCCCUGGCUGAUCUCUGUUCUUGUUGCCCACAGCCAAUCUCACAGAUGCUGAAGAUGCAGCCAAAGUUGAGGCUGAGAAUGCCAUCACCUAUUCACUUCUCUUGCACCCGGAAGCCAUAGAGGAAGAAGCAGAGGACCCGGAUUACCAGAACCACAUUUAAUCUCCAUUGUCUUGCCUGAGA